Molecule: ribosomal RNA, 476 nt
Filed under: uncultured anaerobic ammonium-oxidizing bacterium
Lineage: Bacteria
Description: bacterial SSU rRNA
Rfam family: Bacterial small subunit ribosomal RNA
Source: RNAcentral
UUCGCAAUGCCCGAAAGGGUGACGAUGCGACGCCGCGUGAGCGAAGAAGGCCCUAGGGUUGUAAAGCUCUGUCGAGGGUUAUGAAAUAUAGAUGGGUUAAUACCCCAUUUAUUUGACAAAAGCCCAAAAGGAAGCCACGGCUAACUCUGUGCCAGCAGCCGCGGUAAUACAGAGGUGGCGAGCGUUGUUCGGUAUUAUUGGGCGUAAAGAGCACGUAGGUGGUUUUGUAAGUCAGGUGUGAAAGCCUUCUGUUCAAAGGAAGAACGGCAUCUGAAACUGCAGAUCUUGAGUGUAGGAGGGGAGAGUGGAACUUCUGGUGGAGCGGUGAAAUGCGUAGAUAUCAGAAGGAACGUCGGCGGCGGAAGCGGCUCUCUGGCCUAUUACUGACACUGAGGUGCGAAAGUUAGGGGAGCAAACGGGAUUAGAUACCCCGGUAGUCCUAACCGUAAACGAUGGGCACUAAGUAGAGGGGUUUU